GUUUACGCGAUUCGUUCACCGCUCAUUUGUGAGCGCAAAAGACAUGACCGGCAGAUCAGGCGCAUCAUCUCUAAGGGUUGGAAGCGUAUUCUGUGAGACUUUGAAAGACGAACAUUUCGUUGUUCUGCGGCGUGCGUUCAACCUGCAGGACACAUUUUUAGAGAGCAACUUCCACUUCAGCCAGCUGGGGAACGGAGGUGGAAAAGGGGGCGAUCUGAUUGCCCGCACAGUUGAUGGCAGGUUUUUCGUAAAGCAACUCAACGUCGGCGACGCAAAAACACUUCUCCAAGACAACUUUUUAUCGUCGUAUGUGGCUCGAGUUAAGGAGGUAAGGUCCAAUGUUGUUCUGUCUCAUUUCUAUCUUUUACCUUCCAUCCCCACCAGGGCGCAACCCUGAUCUGCAAAAUUGUCGCUGCUUUCACACAUGAUUCGCUCGGACGUUUUAUUGUUGUGGCCAACUGCUUACCGGCGAAUAUUAAAACUUGGAACGGGUUGUAUGACCUGAAAGGGUCAGCCGAUGAUAAAGUUCUCAUAGAUGAUGGCGUAACUGUUAUCGAAGCCCACAAAAGGUGCUGGAAACUUAGCUGGAUGGCAUCGGAAGCGUUGGGCUGCGACCGCUGCAUCCCGGUGACGCGUCGACGCUACUUGUCCGGUAAACGGAAGGCCUACGAUAUGCCGAUUUACCUAACGAAAGAGCAGAAACGUGAAGUUAUGGAGCUUCUCCGGGAAGACGUUGCCUUCCUUACAAAUCAUGGUCUGAUGGACUACUCGUUGAUAAUGGCUGUCCAUGGGCCUCCCUUAGGAACAUACCAGCUGACGGCAUCGGACUCGGCGAAUAUUCUUCAUUCCAAAUCAUAUGUAUCAUACCAUCGUGGUAGCGUGUCUGUGGUAUACUUCGGAAUAAUCGAUUUCCUGCAGGUAUAAAAUCGUUUUGAACUACAACCACUGGUGCUUUUUACUGGCAACUUCGUCCUAUACCGGUGACACAGGCUUGGACGGUCACUAAGCUUUGCGCGCACCACAUAAAAGCAUGCUGUGCUCCUACUCCAAUAUCAACGAUACCACCUCGACUGUAUGGAAGGCAAUUUCUGAACCAUUUUGAGUGGAAGUGGGUGACUUAUUUCAG
This 1126-nucleotide long non-coding RNA is filed under the name Micromonas commoda. RNAcentral describes it as "long non-coding RNA (MCOM_LNC000017)". The record is from RNAcentral. Lineage: Eukaryota; Viridiplantae; Chlorophyta; Mamiellophyceae; Mamiellales; Mamiellaceae.